RNAcentral lists this long non-coding RNA (802 nucleotides) under Rattus norvegicus (Norway rat). RNAcentral's name for it is "long non-coding RNA NONRATT001241". Lineage: Eukaryota; Metazoa; Chordata; Mammalia; Rodentia; Muridae. The record is from RNAcentral.
AAAGGCAAGAUGAUGUGGCAGAAAUGAGUAGCUGCUACUGGGGAAGCAAGGGUUUUGGAAUGAAAGUUGCCUGUUGAAGUGAGUUUAUGUAAAACGCGAGGUAACACGGCCUUGAAUUUAGUGGCAUAAAUAUACUAACAAAUUUAUCCGUGGUGUCGCAUGACUAAUCCCAGCACCGGGGAAGCUAGGGCUACAUAGUGAGACCCUGUCUCAAAUGCCACCCCCUGCACCCCCAAAUACACUUGUGUAGCAGCAGUGCUUGGCACAUGGUAUUACUGUUCAGCAUGAGUCGUUAUCAUAGUUUAGAGAGGAAGUAGAGGAGAAAAUGGAAAGUGUUGGAGAUAGCAAAUUAUGGUAGGCAGGGGAUAGAAAAGGCAGAGGAUAGAAUGAAAUUUCAACCUGAAAUGGGAUGGGAUUAAAUUUAUUUAAAGGAAGUAAACCAAACGCCUAACGAUUAGGAAAACAGUGCAAUGCUGAAAAGAGUGAAGCAAGGUCCGUCCCUAAAAGGGUAGGUGACCACUGAAGAAAGCAGCAGGUCUGCCAGUGUUUUCAGAGUGAAGACUGAGGAAAGAAGGGUUGCACUUCUGUUAUUGUAAGGCCUGGCCAACUGUGGCUCUGCCUUCAGUCUCAACUCUCAAGAGUCUGAGGUAGGAAAAUCCAUGAGUUUGAAGCCAACUCGGGCUACUCAGGGAAUUUCAGAGCAGCUUGAGCUUCACAGUGAGCUCAGGCUGUAUCUAAAAAACAAAACAACAAAACCAGAAAUAGUUCAUUGUUUAAAAAAAAGAAAGAAAGAAAGAAAAGA